GUCUUCUUAGCUGUUUCGUCAAUAUUUGCGUGUUAAUAAUGCGGGCCGUGUCUUGCGACACCCGCCAAAACAUUCAAAGUUGGGGUGUGUGUGGAUAUUCAAUAAUGAUCCAUCCGCAGGUUCACCUACGGAUA
Molecule: unclassified non-coding RNA, 134 nt
Filed under: uncultured fungus
Lineage: Eukaryota; Fungi
Description: sequence contains ITS1
Source: RNAcentral